This 1119-nucleotide long non-coding RNA is filed under the name Junco hyemalis (dark-eyed junco). Its description in RNAcentral is "lncRNA (ENSJHYG00000003544.1)". Lineage: Eukaryota; Metazoa; Chordata; Aves; Passeriformes; Passerellidae. The record is from RNAcentral.
AAGGAAAAAAAUCUAAUUGACUUGUCAGGAUUGUUUUUCAUCUUUAAUUAAGGCUCGUGAAGGAAGCAGUAAUUACACUUUACUGAUAAAUAAUAAAAAGGGGGAUCAUGCAAAUCAAAACCAAGCCCUGCCCUUGGGAAGGGCCUUGGGUGUGUGGGUGCAGCCCUGGCAGGGUGUCCCUGGGGCUCAGCUCUGUGUCCCCAGGGCUGUCCUGGAGGGCAGGGUGGGCUCAGGCUGCUCUGAAGAGAGAGACAGAGCUGCUCCCAGCAGGAACCGAGAAUUGUGGCUGGUUCAGAGGCAUGGACAGCCCAGAGAGCCAACAGGGCCCCAGAGGCAGGACAGGAGCAGAAGUUGAGGUGCUCAUCCUGUGGAGAUGUCCUGUGGAGAUGUCCUUCUGUCCCACCUGGAUUCAUCAGUGUCCUGGCUCUUUCCCUAAUCCUGGCUGACAGACAGCGCUGGAAGUGUUGGGGAGUUCAGCUCCAGCCCGGGGUGUCAGCAGUUGGCACAGAGGUGGCAGGAGGGGACCCCUGUGCCAGCCCUCUCCACCUGCCCCGAGGGGCUGCUGUUCCCAGAAGAUGCUCAGCUUUGUCCUGACUGCCCCCACCGUGGCCAUCCUGCCCCUGGAGAGCCCCAAAACCUCUGCAGGACACGGGGAAUGUUGUCAGGAGGGUGCCCAGAGCUCACCCAGCCCGGUGCAGAGGGCCAGGCCCGAGGCUGUCAGGGAAUGGUGGACAAGGAUUCCUCUUCCUCUCUUCCUUCAGGAGAAGCCAGACCCUUCCCAGGGUGAGGGCCCCACCUGGAGCCCCCAUCCCUGUCCCUCCAAGCAGCUCAUGGCACUUCAGACCUCUAAAUGUUCGGCUUGUUCCUUUUGAUGUGGCAUGUUGGAAGCUGCCUCGAGCCGAGGGGCAGGCCAGAGGCAGGGCUGAGGGAGGCUGUGUUAACCCUCCUGACUGACCUGGCAGAUUAAUUCAUUAAAACGAAACCAAAUUCAACAUGCCCAUUUAUCGCCUGGGAUGUCCCUGCAAGGCCAAGAGCUGCUGUGGCUCAGGCUGGGCUCAUCCUCACCCCAUCCUCAUCCUCUGACCCUGAACUGCAGAGCCCUGUGGGGCUGCCCACGCC